Long non-coding RNA from Homo sapiens (human), 1805 nucleotides. RefSeq lists it as uncharacterized. The transcript is spliced from 3 exons. The record is from RefSeq and is a predicted model, not a curated record. NCBI's taxonomy places the organism in Eukaryota, Metazoa, Chordata, Mammalia, Primates, Hominidae.
AAACAACGUCUUUAUCCAAAUCUGACACACACAGUUUAAUAUAAUUAAACAGUGAGUAGUUCCCAGAUGCUAAGAUUCAUACAAAAGCAGUGAAGAUGGGGAAAUUACAGCCCUUCUCAAAAAACUUCAUUCAACUAGGUUCUUCUGACAUCCUGAGAAGUACCAGAGCACUCCAGACCUUGGAGGAAUGAAUAUUCAUGACUGGACAGAGGGCAUGGCUGAUGUUAUAGGAAAGUCUCAACAAAGGACAUUGACCUUUGAACUUGAGGAGUAUCCUUCCCUGUCAUCUUCUUUCCAUCAAAUUCCUAACAUUCUUCAAGGGCUAUUAGAAAUGGAUGCUUGCUUACCUAUCGCAUGUCAUAGAGUUGUGUGGCAAAGAUCAUGGUUUUUACAGUGGAAUGACAACAGAAGUGAGGUAUUUUCUUUCUGGGCCAGGGUGGUCAAGAAUAAGUAUGCCUUCUCCACUUUUUGUCCUCUUUUAUUAUCUACAGACAGACAAGCAUGAUGAUCUUGGAAACUAUGUUGAAGAUGGGGAACCGACAGGAUGAAAGGAUUCUGCGUUUCUGUAUCACACUUUUGAGGAGAGCCAAAAUAAACAUCAAAGCUUCUCAGUGUGCACGGAUAUUUCUACUGUGGAUCCUCAUAAAGGCAACACCCUGGAAUACGGCGGGCACCAUCUUCAACAACUUCAUUGUAGAUACCACAGAACGUUUCAUCUGAUUGUUUCACUGAGAUACCACAGUUCAGUGUGUAUAAAGAUCAUCGUUGAGCCAAUCAACAAAAUUUGAAUUCAGGCUGUAGAUGAAAAGUACUGGAUCAAAGUUAAACUAACUAAAGUUAAUAGCUAUUCUGUGGUUACGUAAGAGAAUAUUUUUAUCCUGAUGAAAUAUACACUGAAAUAUUUAGAAGUAAAGGGACAUAGUGUAUGCAGCCUAGUUUCAUGUAGUUCAGGGGGAAAGGAGAGGAGGAUAGAGAGAAAAUUUUAAAGCAAAUAGGGCUAUAUGUUAUCAACAGGUAAAUCUGGGUAAAGGGUAUUUGAGUAUUCAAUAUACUAUUCUUAUUCUUGCAAUGUUUCUACAAGUUUGAAAUUAUUUCCAACUAAAAUACCUUUUUAAAAAAAGGAAUAAUUUUUAUUAGAAUUUAAAUGCAAAAUUUAUUUAAAAAGAAGUACAUGCAAUAGUGCAUGUUAGAAAGUUACAGGAGUAAUAAACACCAUUUUGAUUUGUGAGUGAAAAUUUUUUUCUUUUUAAAUGUGUUCGAUUAAUUUAUUCAAGAUUAUACUAUAUAUAUCGAAAUAUAAAAUACCUGUAAAAAUUCACAACCAUUGUAAUGAUUUUAGUUUUAAGAAUAUAAUUUUUACUGUUCAUUUUUAUUAUAACACUGAUACAUUUUUAAUACAGAAAUUUUAGAAUACAAAAUUUUAGAAUGGAUAUUUUGUGCAUAUAUAUCAGAUGAAAUUACUGGUAGUUUUAUUUUAUAUAUUUAUGCAUAUUUGGUGUGCAUAUAUAUUUAAAAAUAUGAAAUUAUUGCAUUAUACAGUUUUGAAACUUGCCUUUUAUAAACUUGAUACAAAUAGCUUUCUAUAAAAUGUAAUCCUUCAAACACCUGGAUGCAAUUCUUAACUGUUACAGUCUAUUACUAUUUAUUUUCUUCUGUGUAAAUUAUUAUUUGAGCUGUUGUAUAUGAAGAUGAAAACUUAGAAGAUAAUACAACUACCUGUUAAAAUUUAUAAACUUCACAAGUCUUGCUGAAUUAUUUGAAUCAACUAUGAGGAAAGCCAAUAAAGUUUACUUGACAAAAUUUAA